GCUUGCUUUGGCAUAACACAAAAUUGGAAUGAUACAGCAAAUAUUAGCAUGGUCCCUGUACAAGUAUGAUGCUAUGGUUUGGACGAGUGUCCUCCAAAGGCU
Molecule: small nuclear RNA, 102 nt
Filed under: Castor canadensis (American beaver)
Lineage: Eukaryota; Metazoa; Chordata; Mammalia; Rodentia; Castoridae
Source: RNAcentral